Molecule: non-coding RNA, 26 nt
Filed under: Homo sapiens (human)
Lineage: Eukaryota; Metazoa; Chordata; Mammalia; Primates; Hominidae
Source: RNAcentral
GAAAGCCAAAAGGGUGCUAGAGGUGA